Molecule: non-coding RNA, 148 nt
Organism: Pan troglodytes (chimpanzee)
Lineage: Eukaryota; Metazoa; Chordata; Mammalia; Primates; Hominidae
Rfam family: Metazoan signal recognition particle RNA
About the family: The signal recognition particle (SRP) is a universally conserved ribonucleoprotein. It is involved in the co-translational targeting of proteins to membranes.
Source: Rfam
GCAGGGCAUGGUGGCGGUUGCCUGUAAUCCCAGCUACUCAGGAGGCUGAGGCAGGAGAAUCGCUUGAACCCGGGAGGUGGAGGUUGCAGUGAGCUGAGAUCAUGCCAUUGCACUCCACCCUGGGUGACAGAGCGAGACUCUGUCUCAA